RNAcentral lists this long non-coding RNA (339 nucleotides) under Rattus norvegicus (Norway rat). RNAcentral's name for it is "long non-coding RNA NONRATT002275". The record is from RNAcentral. Lineage: Eukaryota; Metazoa; Chordata; Mammalia; Rodentia; Muridae.
GAGUGCCUGGAGCCUGUUCAGAGGGAUUUGUACAGAGAUGUGAUGUUGGAGAACUCCAGCCACCUGGUCUUGCCAUGUCCAAACCUGAUGUGAUAUCCAUCCUAGAGCAAGGUAAUGAGCCCUGGGUACAGGAAAGGGCCACAGCAGUAGUGCUGGGUUCAGCAUUGGAGUCUGGAUGUGGUACCAAGAUAACGCCCUCCAAGCAACGCACUCAUGAGGAGGACUCCCCACAGUGGGCGACAACAGAAAGCCUUCCAAGCUGCAGUCUUGAGAGCGCAAGUCUCUGAAAUGACUGGGAAGGCAAAGGCCUAUUUGAUAGACAAGCAGGCAAUCCAGCCA